RNAcentral lists this ribosomal RNA (497 nucleotides) under uncultured bacterium. RNAcentral describes it as "partial 16S ribosomal RNA". It matches the Rfam family "Bacterial small subunit ribosomal RNA", at positions 28 to 507 of the family's 1533-position model. The record is from RNAcentral.
GACGAACGCUGGCGGCGUGCCUAAUACAUGCAAGUUGAGCGAUGAAGAUUGCUGCUUGCACCAAUUUGAAGAGCAGCGAACGGGUGAGUAACGCGUGGGGAAUCUGCCUUUGAGCGGGGGACAACAUUUGGAAACGAAUGCUAAUACCGCAUAACAACUUUAAACAUAAGUUUUAAGUUUGAAAGAUGCAAUUGCAUCACUCAAAGAUGAUCCCGCGUUGUAUUAGCUAGUUGGUGAGGUAAAGGCUCACCAAGGCGAUGAUACAUAGCCGACCUGAGAGGGUGAUCGGCCACAUUGGGACUGAGACACGGCCCAAACUCCUACGGGAGGCAGCAGUAGGGAAUCUUCGGCAAUGGACGAAAGUCUGACCGAGCAACGCCGCGUGAGUGAAGAAGGUUUUCGGAUCGUAAAACUCUGUUGGUAGAGAAGAACGUUGGUGAGAGUGGAAAGCUCAUCAAGUGACGGUAACUACCCAGAAAGGGACGGCUAACUACGUG